RNAcentral lists this transfer-messenger RNA (416 nucleotides) under Candidatus Minimicrobia naudis. It matches the Rfam family "transfer-messenger RNA". From Rfam's summary of the family: Bacterial tmRNA, also known as 10Sa RNA or SsrA, is named for its dual tRNA and mRNA-like properties. Its role is to liberate the mRNA from a stalled ribosome. To accomplish this part of the tmRNA is used as a reading frame that ends in a translation stop signal. The record is from Rfam by way of RNAcentral. Lineage: Bacteria; Candidatus Saccharimonadota.
GGGGCUGAUAUAGCUUUCGACAAUUGGACCUUAUCCAGGACAUUCUGCAAGCCGACGAUACGCGUAACGUAUAGAUUUUAGAUGCAAGAAAAUCUUUGCAAAAGCAAAGUCGUUGCAGCAAGCGCUGAUUCGCUCCAAAGAUGGCUCACCCAGUCGCAACCGCAGCGUAAUUUUCUAGAGACCAUCCUAGCAGCGCAGGCAACAGCCAAUGUGGAAGGGUGUCAUAUAUAUGUUGCUAGCUGCGACGCCCGGAAGCAGCAGACACACGGGACUUUUUCCACGUAACGAAACUCGGUUUUUUCGACUCAUUUUUAAGCCAAGUGACGUUAUAAAAUUAAAUUGAAAUAAGACUACGCUCGCAGACGAAAUAUCAGGAUACCAGUUGGACCCGGGGGCAGUACCCGGCAGCUCCACCA